CCUACGGGAGGCAGCAGUGGGGAAUAUUGGGCAAUGGGCGAAAGCCUGACCCAGCAACGCCGCGUGAAGGAAGAAGGCUUUCGGGUUGUAAACUUCUUUUGACAGGGAAGAGCAGAAGACGGUACCUGUCGAAUAAGCCACGGCUAACUACGUGCCAGCAGCCGCGGUAAUACGUAGGUGGCAAGCGUUGUCCGGAUUUACUGGGGGUAAAGGGCGUGUAGCCGGGCUGACAAGUCAGAUGUGAAAUCCGGGGGCUCAACCCCCGAACUGCAUCUGAAACUGUUGGUCUUGAGUAUCGGAGAGGCAGGGAGAAUUCCUAGUGUAGCGGUGAAAUGCGUAGAUAUUAGGAGGAACACCAGUGGCGAAGGCGGCCUGCUGGACGACAACUGACGGUGAGGCGCGAAAGCGUGGGGAGCAAACAGGAUUAGAUACCCUGGUAGUC
This 442-nucleotide ribosomal RNA is filed under the name uncultured bacterium. RNAcentral describes it as "partial 16S ribosomal RNA". It matches the Rfam family "Bacterial small subunit ribosomal RNA", at positions 338 to 795 of the family's 1533-position model. The record is from RNAcentral.